Molecule: non-coding RNA, 98 nt
Organism: Acanthosepion pharaonis
Lineage: Eukaryota; Metazoa; Mollusca; Cephalopoda; Sepiida; Sepiidae
Source: the annotation of a GenBank genome assembly
UUAAAACACCAGUUCUCGUUUAAUCACGGAAGUUAAGCAAUGUCGAUUCUGGUUAGUAACUAGAUGGGUGACGAAUUGGGAAGACCCGGUACUGUAAG